UGCAUUUUCAGUCUGCAGCCUUUAUAAGGAUAUUGCUCCACUGGGAUUAGAAGAAAAUUAUUAGAGGAAAAUAUCAGGUUCAGUCACCGUGCUGUGAAUAUUAUUUCUAGACAGGUCUGUUCUUCAUUUCAUGUUUCCUUCAAAAUGACCUGAAAAUGACCUGUUAAAGAGAAUUUACCUCAAAAUCGGGACAGUAUGCACGGACUCAUACCUACUGGAGACCAUGAACCAUGCUGGGGCAGCAGCUCAGUGCUGGAACAGCUUUCCAGGAGUUUCAAAAGGACUUUCUGAAUUUAAAGAGCAUGUCACCAGAAUACAAUACAGGAAUACAUCUUAGCAUUUGACCUUAUGACUAAACACUUCACAAUUACAGAAUCUCCAGAAUGACACUGAUCUUCUGUAUACUUCAUAUCCUCCUUUCAGUCAUAUAUGGAUAUUUUGGAGAGCGUAG
RNAcentral lists this long non-coding RNA (451 nucleotides) under Coturnix japonica (Japanese quail). Its description in RNAcentral is "lncRNA (ENSCJPG00005005115.1)". The record is from RNAcentral. Lineage: Eukaryota; Metazoa; Chordata; Aves; Galliformes; Phasianidae.